GACGAACGCUGGCGGCGUGCUUAACACAUGCAAGUCGAACGGAAAGGCCCUGCUUUUGUGGGGUGCUCGAGUGGCGAACGGGUGAGUAACACGUGAGUAACCUGCCCUUGACUUUGGGAUAACUUCAGGAAACUGGGGCUAAUACCGGAUAGGAGCUCUGGCGGCAUGGUGGGGGUUGGAAGGUUUCGGCGGUUGGGGAUGGACUCGCGGCUUAUCAGCUUGUUGGUGGGGUAGUGGCUUACCAAGGCUUUGACGGGUAGCCGGCCUGAGAGGGUGACCGGCCACAUUGGGACUGAGAUACGGCCCAGACUCCUACGGGAGGCAGCAGUGGGGAAUAUUGCACAAUGGGCGGAAGCCUGAUGCAGCAACGCCGCGUGCGGGAUGACGGCCUUCGGGUUGUAAACCGCUUUCGCCUGUGACGAAGCGUGAGUGACGGUAAUGGGUAAAGAAGCACCGGCUAACUACGUG
Molecule: ribosomal RNA, 468 nt
Filed under: uncultured bacterium
Lineage: Bacteria
Description: partial 16S ribosomal RNA
Rfam family: Bacterial small subunit ribosomal RNA
Source: RNAcentral